UACGUAGGGGGCGAGCGUUGUCCGGAUUUAUUGGGCGUAAAGAGCGUGUAGGCGGCCUGGCAGGUCUGCUGUGAAAACUCGAGGCUCAACCUCGAGAUGUCGGCGGAAACCGUCUGGCUAGAGUCCGGAAGAGGAGAGUGGAAUUCCUGGUGUAGCGGUGAAAUGCGCAGAUAUCAGGAAGAACACCUAUGGCGAAGGCAGCUCUCUGGGACGGUACUGACGCUGAGACGCGAAAGCGUGGGGAGCGAACAGG
Molecule: ribosomal RNA, 253 nt
Filed under: uncultured bacterium
Lineage: Bacteria
Description: partial 16S ribosomal RNA
Rfam family: Bacterial small subunit ribosomal RNA
Source: RNAcentral